UUCUUAUUUGAUCGAAUGGUUUGGGUACGAUUGAUUGGGUUUUCAAUUUCGGUGCAUGCAACUUUGGGUGGUAGAAAAUUGAAAUGGAGAGGAAAUAGCUUUGGUUGGAUAGAUAGUUUAAAAUUAGGUGAGAGUUUGAGAGAGACCGAGAUUGAUUGGGUUAGGGAUAGGGAUAGGGUCUGGAUUCGAAUUUUGUAAUUGGAUUCAAUCUCUAAGAGCUUUUGCUGGACUUCCACAGAGUGAGAGACAGAUAGGGAGGGGACUUUUCUCUGCCAAUCAGAAGAAGAUGAUUUGCUGAGGGAAAGUCUAGAGAGGAGGAAGGGAUGUCUUGGUCGAUUUCAGUCUGUUCCCAAUUUGGGAAUUUCUGUUUCACAUUCAAAGUUUCAAUCUUUAAAGGCAAUGGCAGUCUCCCCAAGCUAAAGACUCCCCCUCUGAGGAGCGUAUUGAAGGACGGUUGAGAUAUCUCAAAAGCCAGAAAGAGAAACUCAAAUCUUGCAUUAUAUAUGACUGAUCUUCAGUGCUUUGUAAACUCGAAACAAUUUUAGGGACAUGAAACUUUGUCUUUUAUUGUAAAUUGUUUGCAACAACAAACCCCGCAGCAAAACGCGGGUACCAUUACUAGUAUAUU
This is a long non-coding RNA of Rosa rugosa (rugosa rose), 628 nucleotides long. RefSeq lists it as uncharacterized. NCBI's taxonomy places the organism in Eukaryota, Viridiplantae, Streptophyta, Magnoliopsida, Rosales, Rosaceae. The record is from RefSeq and is a predicted model, not a curated record. The transcript has 3 exons.